UUACAGCAUUAAAUGGAUACUUAAGCAUUAAAAUUCUGAUGGACGUUUUAUAACGAAAUGUCGUAACGAGUAGAGUAAAGAUACUGAGACUUAUGACUUUCCAUCAAUUCGGAAAAUCGAAUCUUCGUUUAAUAGAAGACUUGUUUAAAGGUUUUUAAACAAAAAAUUUGGUGAAUUGAAUCAUCUAAGUAACCAAAGUUAUAAAAUCAACCGAGAUACUGUUAGUAGUGGCGAACGAAUGCAGGAAAAGACUUAUAAGUUAAAAACUUUAUUUAAUAUGUAAUAGCCAUAGAAGGUAACCUAACAAUAGGAUAGCCCUGUAAAAUAAAGCUUUUUUAACUUUUGUACAGUAAAAUAGACCACGUCAUGGUCCGUUUGAAUAUUGGGGUCCCAUCCUCAAAGUCUAAAAAUUUUAAUGACUAAUAGUGAAACUUGCAAAGGCCUACCUAUCCCAAUUGGACCAACAAGUUUAUUUUAGUGGCGAGCUUAAAUAUUAAAAUAUGUAGGCGUAAAGAAAUUAAGUUUUAAAAUGCUCUUUAGUCUCUAGAAUAAGACCCGAAACUAAGUGAUCUAAUCAUGAACUGGUUGAAGUUUAGGCGGAAACGCCUUUCGGAGGACCGAACCCGUGUAUGUGGAAAAAUACUGGGAUGAUUUGUGAUUAGGGGUGAAAGGCCAAUCAAACUUAGAGAUAGCUGGUUUUCUGCGAAAUCUAUUUAAGUAGAGCGUUUAAAGAACUUUAUUAAGGGUAGAGCUCUCGAUAAACAAUGGGGGCUUAACGCUUUACUGAGUUUAUUGAAACUUCGAAUAUUAAUUAUAAUGACUUUAAGCAGACAGACUAUGAGUGCUAAGAUUCAUAGUCAAAAGGGAAACAGCCCAGAUUAUUGAUUAAGGCUCUUAAAAGUGAUUAAGUGGAAAAAUUGUGAAAAAAUGUUGACAACCGAAAGGUAGGCUUAGAAGCAGCCAUUCUUUAAAGAAAGCGUAACAGCUCAUUGGUUUAGUUUUUUUGCAUUGAAAAUGUAUAGGAACUAAAAUUACUUGCCGAAAUUGUAAAUUUAAAAGAUAAUGGUAGCAGAACGUUCUGUAAAUUUAAGAAGUUUUAUAGUAAUAUAAAAUGGAAAUAUCAGAAAUGAUAAUGUUGGUAUGAGUAACGACAAACAAUGUGUGAAACAUUGUCGCCUUAAGUUCAAGGUUUCCAAAACAAGGCUAAUCCGUUUUGGUAUUUAAUAUAUUGUUAAUCGGUCUCUAAGGAUAAAAACGAAAGUUUAGUUCUAAUGAGGUAAAAAUUAUUUUUUCUUUUUUAAAAGUGACAAAAUAUGAAUAUUAUUUUUAUUUUAUGGUUUAAAUAAAAGUUUUAUAGUAUUUUCUGGAAAUAGCUUUUAAUAUAAUUAACCGUACCCUAAACCGACACAGGUGAACAAGUUUAGAAAACUAAGGCGCUUGAGAGAAUUAUGUUGAAGGAACUCGGCAAAAUGACUCCGUAACUUCGGAAUAAGGAGUGACUCUGAGGGGGCAACCUUUUAGAGUUGUCACAAAAUCGGGGACAGCGACUGUUUAUUAAAAAGUGCGACCAGCAAAGCUGAAUAAAGCAAUACAUCUGAGAUGAUGUCUUCUCUUCCAAUUGAGAUGAGUCUACUAGGAUAUGCUAUCAUCGGUAACGAUGUAGUGUAAAGCUUCUAGGACAAUGUACUUCCUCAUCAUAGCUAGAUUGAUGAAACCCCUAUGCAUUUGUUGCAUACGCGGAAGGCUAGACUAGAAUUAUAUGUUUAACGAAAGUAAAUCUUCCAUUAUUAGGCCUCGUGAAAACAGCGUCUUGAAACUAAGCUGAUACGAGAUUAUGUAGUUGGUGCUCCGUCCUUUUUAUGCGGCGCACGAUUGGACACACGACUACCGAGGUAGAGGAGAAAGCUAAGUAAUUCAAAUGUGUUUUAUUCAGAACUGGGUAAGCCCUAAUUCUUCCUAACUUUUAGAAGGUGGUAUUGUCGCGAGAUGAUAUAUCGGAAUGAGGGUAAAAGAGUUUGGAAAAAGCAAAUGCUAUAAUGUAAUGUUAUAGAUAGAAUCCGGAAUAAUGUCCUAUGAUUUAACUCGAAAGGGUGCCCACUUCCAAAUGGCUAACCUUAUUUAUUACUGAAUUAUUGUUAAAUGACGUUGAAAUUAGAUCAAUUUAAAAACAAUGCUCAAAAUUGGGCUCAUAUAGACUGGGCCUUGGCUAGAGCUGAUCUAGCUGGUCUACAAUACAAGGUUUUAAAGGCUUUCAAGAGUGGUAACAUGACUAAUGUACGUCAUGCUCCAGUAAGAAUGGACACUCAAGAGCGGUAUGGAAAGAAAAAAGAAUUAUAAAAUAGUUACGAAAUAUAUAUGUUCUAUAUCUUUCUGUGCAAGGAGGCUCGAGCCGUGUGAGGGGAAACUUUCAAGCACGGUUUUGAAUCAGGGGUGAGUUGAGAGAUCAUUUGCCUACUGUAAUUACAGUUAUGCAUUGUAAUGAAAUUUUUUUUAUGUAGCAUAAGUGGGAAGUUGUUAGAAGAUCUCUUUGCGCAAGCAAAUAAGUGAAACAUCCUUGAAAUACCACUUUAAAAAUUUUUUAUUACUUAUUGUUUAAGACAGUGUAUAAUGGGUAGUUUGACUGGGGCGGUCGCCUCCUAAAGAGUAACGGAGGCGUGCAAAGGUAAAUUUGGGUUGAACUAUCACAAUUCUAAAGCAUAAUAGUAUAUAUUUGCCUGACUGUAAGAUUGACAAAUCAAGCAGGGACGAAAGUCGGUUAUAGUGAUCCGAUGAUUCUGAGUGGAAAAGGUCAUCGCUCAACGAAUAAAAGGUACGCCGGGGAUAACAGGCUAAUCACCCUCUAGAGACCCUAUCGACGGGGUGGUUUGGCACCUCGAUGUUGGAUUAUCGCAUCCUGGAGCUGUAAGUGGUUCCAAGGGUUUGGCUGUUCGCCAAUGAAGGCGGUACAUGAUCUGAGUUUAGAACGUUGCGAAACAGUUUGGUCCCUAUCUACCGCGAGUGUAAAAAAUUGAGAGGAGUAAACCUUAGUACGAGAGGACCGGGAAAAGUAAAUCCAUGGUGAAUCGAUUGUUAUACCAAUAGCAUAGUCGAGUAGCUACAUUUAUAAUAAAUAAUUACUGAAAGCAUCUAAGUAAGAAAUUAGCCUCAAUACAAGUUUUUUAAAAAAUGUAGCAGACCACUACAUUGAUAGGCUUGGUGUGUAAGGAUUGUAAGAUCUUUAGCUAACAAGUACUAAAUUAAUUUUAACAUACUUUU
RNAcentral lists this ribosomal RNA (3255 nucleotides) under Nitzschia ovalis. The record is from RNAcentral. Lineage: Eukaryota; Bacillariophyta; Bacillariophyceae; Bacillariales; Bacillariaceae.